AGUGAACGCUGGCGGUAGGCCUAACACAUGCAAGUCGAACGGCAGCACAGUAAGAGUUUGCCUUUACGGGUGGCGAGUGGCGGACGGGUGAGGAAUACAUCGGAAUCUACUUUUUCGUGGGGGAUAACGUCGGGCAACUUACGCUAAUACCGCAUACGACCUACGGGUGAAAGCAGUGGAUCUUCGGACCUUGCGCGAUUGAAUGAGCCGAUGUCGGAUUAGCUAGUUGGCGGGGUAAAGGCCCACCAAGGCGACGAUCCGUAGCUGCUCUGAGAGGAUGAUCAAGCCCCCUGUCACUGAGCCACGGUCCCCACUACUACGGAAGGCACCAGUGUGAAAUCUUUGAAAAUGAGCGCACGCCCGACCCAGGCAUACCGCGUCGGUGACGGAGCUCUUGGAGUUGUAAAGCAGUUGUGUUGGGAGAGAACAGCAGCUAGUGAUAGUCUGGAUGUUAUGACGGUACCCACUGAAUAAGCCACGGCUAGCUACGUG
RNAcentral lists this ribosomal RNA (492 nucleotides) under uncultured bacterium. RNAcentral describes it as "partial 16S ribosomal RNA". It matches the Rfam family "Bacterial small subunit ribosomal RNA", at positions 29 to 507 of the family's 1533-position model. The record is from RNAcentral.